CGGACAGGAAGGUAGUAAAGAGAGGGUGGAUCAGUUGGAUAGGCAGGUAGUGGAGAUAGCAUGGAUCUACUGGCCAGGCAGGUAGUGUAGACAGCUUGGAUCUGCUGGCAGGCAGGUAGUGUAGACAGUGUGGACCUGCUGGACAAGCAGGUAGUGUUGACAGGGUGGAUCUGCUGGCCAGGCAGGUAGUGUAGAUAGCGUGGAUCUACUGGCCAGGCAGGUAGUGUAGACAGGGCGGAUCUGCUGGGCUGGGAGGUAGUGUAGACAGGGCGGAUAUGCUGGCCAGGCAGGUAGUGUAGAUAGGGUGGAUAUACUGACCAGGCAGGUAGUGUAGACAGGGCGGGUCUGCUGGACAGGCAGGUAGUGUAGACAGGGUGGAUCUG
RNAcentral lists this long non-coding RNA (383 nucleotides) under Homo sapiens (human). Its description in RNAcentral is "non-protein coding lnc-NOC2L-12:2". The record is from RNAcentral. Lineage: Eukaryota; Metazoa; Chordata; Mammalia; Primates; Hominidae.